RNAcentral lists this ribosomal RNA (504 nucleotides) under uncultured bacterium. RNAcentral's name for it is "bacterial SSU rRNA". It matches the Rfam family "Bacterial small subunit ribosomal RNA", at positions 33 to 507 of the family's 1533-position model. The record is from RNAcentral.
GACGACGCUGGCGGCGUGCUUAAUACAUGCAAGUCGAGCGAGGCCUUGGAAUUGGAGUCCUUCGGGAUGAAGAGUCCUUGGCCUAGCGGCGGACGGGUGAGUAACGCGUGGGCAACCUACCCCAAAGUCCGGGAUAACAGUGGGAAACCGCUGCUAAUACCGGAUGGCUUUACCUGAGGGCAUCCUCGGGUAAAGAAAGGUUACGCUUUGGGAUGGGCCCGCGUCCCAUUAGCUAGUUGGUGAGGUAACGGCUCACCAAGGCGACGAUGGGUAGCCGGCCUGAGAGGGUGAACGGCCACACUGGGACUGAGACACGGCCCAGACUCCUACGGGAGGCAGCAGUAGGGAAUAGUCUACAAUGGCCGGAAGGCUGAUAGUGCGACGCCGCGUGAACGAGGGAGCCCUUCGGGGUGUAAAGUUCUUUUCUAUACGAGCAGUGCUAUAUAUAUGGAUAGUAUAUAUAGAGGGAUAGUAGUAUAGGAAUAAGCAACGGCUAACUCCGUG